CACGAAUGAAAACGGAAAAGGAAGUUGUUGCUUUUCUAUGUCAAAGUUAGGACGACACUAUGGUAAAGAGUAUAUGUAAAGGUGAAAUAGAAAACUAACAGUCAAAAUUAUUCUAGCACCAGUUGAAAGGGAAACAAGUUCCAGCUCUUGAAGAACUGCUUGAACAUGACUGUCUCCUUCCCCUCGGGCAGGAUCUCCACCUGAAGCACAACAGCAGCAAAAAAUGCAGACUUUCAGCUCAGGUAUACAAGUGGUCAAACCAAAAAAAUUGCAGAAACAGGGAACGGACGAGGGUUGAAAACAGAAGAAAGAGUGCACAAGACGUGAAUAAAGUGGAGUUAAGCCUGUCCUGCUGUUGUGGUGCCUUUAGCAACAUUGGCCCUCGAACCUUGAUAAUCAGCACAAUGUUGAUAAGAACCAAUGAGAAGAACCAUUACAAGAAAGGGCAUAUUCAAGGCCAAGGGAUCACCUUUCCACACAAAGAUCUUUCCAUUGGUGCCGUUGUCCAAAAUGAAGCAGUCAUCAGAAAGCAGCAGCUCCUUGGCAAAAGGACAUUUAUUCACAACUUUGGUCAGUGACAUGGAGCCGGUCGCAUCAGACACCUGAGUAGACAAAAAGAGGAGUUAAACAUUAAGUCAUUUUUGACUCAAAAAAAUAUAUUUUUAAAACCUUGUAGAGGGAGGCCACGUUGGAUUUAUCCGCUUUGCUGUCCUCCUCUGGCGAGCUCUCAGCCAACUCAGGCUUCUGUCCAAGGACCUAACCCACAGCCCAGAAAACAUGCAAGACUUUAACAAGAGUGAGAAAUCCCAUGAUCGCCCACGUCAGGUAGUGCAUACCUUCAGCAUUUCCUCAGGCUCCUCCCCUUCACAGGUGUCCACAAUCCGUGCUUUGCCGUGUCUGUCCGUGUCGCGAAUCAGCGAGGCGAUCUCCCGCACUUUCUGCUUCUCAAAGACAUUGGCCUGGGAUCCAGUCCAUGACACAAUCACCUAAACACACAAAGAGAGCCAGAAUACAUCAGACAGAUUCUGGGACACAUGUUUUUUAAACACGUUAUCACCUCUCCAAGGUCCAGGAUGAAGCAGUCUCCCUUGUUGAAGCUCUUCCAGGACAGCUCUACCUCUUUGGCACGGAUGUUGCGUUUUCCUUUGAUCUGGUAGAGACGUCGCACCGUCCCUGAACCCUGAGAUUUCCUGAAGCCUGAUUCCACCCCUCCGUCCUGUGACGAGAGGCUCCUCUUCAACAAAACAACCUCAGUAGUUUCUACAGUACAUGCGGGGCUAAAGGUCGAACCUUGUAGCUGACCCCUCUGGGGAAGAGCAUCAUGAACUCGGGAGUCUCGUAGCCUUGGACAUGCCUGUGCUGGACGGGGUCUCCGCCUAGGAAGUUGUCCAGCUGGGUGGCCAGCAUAGCGCACACCACCUGCUCGUCCCGGGAUGACUUCUCACCUGUAAGAGCGACUUCUUUUGACACAUAUCUUUCCAAGAAGAAGCGAGGUGGGACAAUGUGCCCCUGAAGCGUUGGACACAUGCUGGAAACAACAGUCACUUGGGACUCUGUCCUCGUGCAUUUUUCACGGAGGUGAGCAAUCCUGCCGGCCUCUCAGCCUCUUCAAAAGAAGACAGAAUCCAGCAGUGUCUCGUCUCACCUAUCCACAUGUGGACGUCGGCUCCCUGCUCGCCACGGUUCUCCAGCACCAGGCCCGGCUCACGGACCUUUGGACCAAACUGUCCCGCUACGGUCUGGAAGGGGAGCAUUCUACACAGGGAGAAACCAGUGUCAGUGUCAUUUCAAGAGUGUUGGGCAGUAGCGGUGCAACAAGUAGAGUUGAUACAAGUAGCGUUGUAGUAGUACUGCAAGUAUUGUUCCUACAAGUAUGCAUCUGCGGUACAAGUUGCGUUGUAGUGGUACAAGUCACAAUUUUACAAGUAGCGUUGCAGCAGUGCUACGCAUAGCGGUGCUACGAGUAGCAAUACAGUGAGUAGCGGUUUUACAAGUAGCGUUUUAGGGAUACCGUUUUAGCAAUACGAGUAGCAGUUCCAGAAGUAAUGUUGUAUCGACGUUGCUAGUAGCUUUACUACCAGUAGUGUUGUAGCGGUACAGCAAGUAGUGGUGCAACUAGCAGCGUUGUAGCGGUACAAAAAGUAUCGGUACCACAAGCAGCGGUGCCACAAGUACCAAUGUUACUGGCAGCGUUGUAUCAGUACCACAAGUAGCGGUGCCACAAGUACCGAUGUUACUGGCAGCGUUGUAUCAGUACCACAAGUAGCGGUGCCACAAGUAGGGGUGCCACAAGUACCAAUGUUACUGGCAGCGUUGUAUCAAUACCACAAGUAGCGGUGCCACAAGCAGCGGUGCCACAAGUACAGAUGUUACUAGCAGCGUUGUAUCAGUACCACAAGUAGCGGUGUAGCGACACCACAAGUAGCGGUGUAUCAAUACCACAAGUAGCGGUGCAACAAAUAGCGGUUCUGCAAAUAACAUUGUAGCGUUACGCGGUGCUACAAGUACUGUUAGCAGUUAAUAUUUACUGUUAAUGCAAACUACGAAUUAUUUUUCAAUUGUUGGCUUACAUGUCAAUAACACUGUCAAAACUGUUGUAUUUGGACAUGGAAUUCUUACAUCACUAAAUAAAG
Molecule: long non-coding RNA, 2633 nt
Organism: Entelurus aequoreus (snake pipefish)
Lineage: Eukaryota; Metazoa; Chordata; Actinopteri; Syngnathiformes; Syngnathidae
Exons: 5
Source: RefSeq, a predicted model, not a curated record